UACGGAGGGUGCAAGCGUUAUCCGGAUUUACUGGGUUUAAAGGGUGCGCAGGCGGAUAUGUAAGUCAGUGGUGAGAUCUCUGGGCUUAACCCGGAAAUUGCCAUUGAUACUAUAUAUCUUGAAUGCUGUGGAGGUAAGCGGAAUAUGUCAUGUAGCGGUGAAAUGCUUAGAGAUGACAUAGAACACCUAUUGCGAAGGCAGCUUACUACGCAGAUAUUGACGCUCAUGCACGAAAGCGUGGGGAUCAAACAGG
This 253-nucleotide ribosomal RNA is filed under the name uncultured bacterium. RNAcentral's name for it is "partial 16S ribosomal RNA". It matches the Rfam family "Bacterial small subunit ribosomal RNA", at positions 524 to 776 of the family's 1533-position model. The record is from RNAcentral.